UACGUAGGGUGCAAGCGUUGUCCGGAAUUAUUGGGCGUAAAGAGCUCGUAGGCGGUUUGUCGCGUCUGCUGUGAAAACUCGGGGCUUAACCCCGGGCCUGCAGUGGGUACGGGCAGACUAGAGUGCGGUAGGGGAGACUGGAAUUCCUGGUGUAGCGGUGAAAUGCGUAGAUAUCUGGAGGAACACCGGUGGCGAAGGCGGCAUCCUGGACCGAUACUGACGCUGAGGAGCGAAAGCCAGGGGAGCAAACGGG
This 253-nucleotide ribosomal RNA is filed under the name uncultured bacterium. RNAcentral describes it as "partial 16S ribosomal RNA". It matches the Rfam family "Bacterial small subunit ribosomal RNA", at positions 524 to 776 of the family's 1533-position model. The record is from RNAcentral.